This 420-nucleotide long non-coding RNA is filed under the name Gossypium barbadense (sea-island cotton). RNAcentral describes it as "long non-coding RNA (GBAR_LNC019480)". Lineage: Eukaryota; Viridiplantae; Streptophyta; Magnoliopsida; Malvales; Malvaceae. The record is from RNAcentral.
GUUUGGCCAUACACACGAUAUUUCUGUCUGGUUCACUUUUUGUUAAUAAAGUAGAGCAGAUAGAAGACUACAACCGCGACAAAGUUAGGCAAAGUUGAGUAACUGUGAAUAAAAAAAAAGGACCUUCACAUUAACAUGGUAGACUCUUUCCUGAGAAAAUUUUUAAUAAUAGUUACCUUUUAUCGGUGGAUGUCAAAUGCCUCAAGUGUUGCACCCCAUCCUAUUAGUACAAACUGUCAAACAGGAAAAAUGACAUCCAUGUAUUAACCCAAUGAUCUGCCACAUUAGCCCUCGUUUAGUAAGGAACCUACCUUCAUUCAGUAUUGCUAACGCAUUGCAAAGAACAGCACAAAAUAAGGUUUAAGUUCUCAAAUUCGGUACAAACACUGGGCCUCAUAUACAAUAGUGAGAACUCAAAAC